This is a long non-coding RNA of Pipra filicauda (Wire-tailed manakin), 373 nucleotides long. RefSeq lists it as uncharacterized. The record is from RefSeq and is a predicted model, not a curated record. The transcript has 2 exons. Lineage: Eukaryota; Metazoa; Chordata; Aves; Passeriformes; Pipridae.
GAGCAGCUUUAUUUAACAAGCCCACAUCCUCUUCAAACUCUGUGGCAAAUACUGAGGAAGGUAACUUAAUAGAUGGAGCCUUAGAAAAGGAAACAAAAUAACAUCAUCACAAUAUAUUUGUUCGCAGCUUCUCCUUUGAGCUCAUGUUAAAAAAAAGGUGCAGAUGCUCAUGUGACACAAAGAAAGUCUGCAGCAGAACUCUCUGGGGAGCAGUAUCAUCAGCAGCAAGUGGAUCCCGCUGACUUCUGUGCACUAAGUGAAACGUUACUGCCCUCUUCUUCUCUAUGAAGGGUUUCUUCUUCUUGUGAGGCUGCAAAAGGGCAUUUGGUUAACCAUUAAUACAAAAUGAAAAAUUAAAUGCACCUACAAAGAA